GGCAUUUCUCUGUUCCCCUCUUGGAUCCUUUUCUUCCCUAUUGAUUUGCAUUGAUGUUUUUUUGUCUACUUUCUUCUUGGUCGGCAUUGUCAAUCGUAAUUGGGCUAUCCUGAAAAGUUCUCUUGCUGCCGCAAGCAAUGUAUGUUUCUGUGUCAAACGAGAGUAUACAAAUCAGUGUAAAAGCAAUAUAGUCCCAGAUUGAUCAAGUAUUAAAAGGAAAUUAAAACAGAAAACUACUGAUAAGGAAAUGGUGUAAAUUGUGCCUCUGGAGCAGAAGGUUUUAUGAAUACAAUAGAGCAACAUGGCCUCAAGGUUGAUAAGUGUCAAGCAGAAAAUGCAUGAAGAUAUGCAAAUUAAAGUUAUUUUAGCAAAAAAAAAAAACUAGCUAUUAUAUUAAAUUCCACAUACAAUAGUAGCAAGGGCCUAAAAUAGCAGGACUUACCAUGAGGAUCGCUGGCAUUGUCAAGGAUGAAUGAAGGAACAAACGGUUUCUUCAAUCUAUCAUUAUUCCCUUGUUGUGUCACGCUAGUUCCUCACUUCAGCCUCAACUGCGAACAAGUGUUCCCGAAACCCG
This 574-nucleotide long non-coding RNA is filed under the name Glycine max (soybean). Its description in RNAcentral is "long non-coding RNA (GMAX_LNC002905)". The record is from RNAcentral. Lineage: Eukaryota; Viridiplantae; Streptophyta; Magnoliopsida; Fabales; Fabaceae.